Molecule: ribosomal RNA, 285 nt
Filed under: Triticum aestivum (bread wheat)
Lineage: Eukaryota; Viridiplantae; Streptophyta; Magnoliopsida; Poales; Poaceae
Description: partial small subunit ribosomal RNA
Source: RNAcentral
AUGCUGCCGCUCCCUCCUAGAUCCAGUUUCCACCCAACCGAUGUCGAGCUCACCCUCUACUAUCUCAAGAGGAAGCUACUCGGAAACAAGUUGCUCUGCAAUGCUGUUACAGAAGUCGAUAUCUACAAAUACGCCCCCUGGGAUCUUCUAGCGAAAUCUUCAAUGCCGACUAGGGAUCUCCAAUGGUAUUUCUUUUGCACUCAUGGUAGGAAGUACUCUGUCAGGUCAAGAAUUAACCAAUUAACCCAAGCCGGCUACGGGAAAGGACAGGAAAGUGGUGUAUGA